UCCUAUUUUCUAUUUCAGGCCUCUGAGCAGAACUUCCCUUUUGAAUAGGGCCCAGCAGAAAACACAAAGCUGGAAUUUUCUCUCGAAGGUGAACUAACGAAGGGAUAACAAGCUGAUUAUUUUUCUGGUGCCUUCUAAGGAAGUUUCACACAGGCCCAUGUAAUGCUGGACCAGAAUUGGGACAUUCCGUUUACCCACUGCCCUUCCAGUUAACAAAAGGUGUUUACCGAAGUGCAGAGGUUGAAUAUGUGGAAGAAGCAUAUCUUGUUUGGUAAGAACAUAGUGUGACUAGAAAC
This 296-nucleotide long non-coding RNA is filed under the name Capra hircus (goat). RNAcentral describes it as "lncRNA (ENSCHIG00010014629.1)". Lineage: Eukaryota; Metazoa; Chordata; Mammalia; Artiodactyla; Bovidae. The record is from RNAcentral.